Molecule: non-coding RNA, 430 nt
Organism: Lolium perenne
Lineage: Eukaryota; Viridiplantae; Streptophyta; Magnoliopsida; Poales; Poaceae
Source: RefSeq, a predicted model, not a curated record
UCCAUCCGAGGCUCCCAGAAAACCUAGCAUCCUCCAUCUUCCCCUCCUUGAGCCGCCGAAAUUGUUUUCCCCUCUCCCAUGAAAAGAUCAGAAACAGUUUCAGAAAAUUUAGAGAGCUCGUCGUUAAUUCCAUCACCACCGGUCGACCUUGUCGGCGUUCUGCAUGCUGCCGUGCCUGUCUGAGUGCGGGGAUGGAGCCUGCACCGUCCUCAACCUCCUAGAUGAAGAAUCAGGAACGGAGCCGUCUCAGGUCCUCGUGGCUGUCAAGUUCCUCUCCCGGGAGCGCUGUCCGUGCUCGCCGUCGUCUCCCGCACCCUCGACCUCUUUCGGUUCGCCAGCGCCUUCCUGAUGGCCGCCGCCUCGCUCGUCUGCAUCCCCUGCGUGGUCUCGCGUCCCCGAGCGGUUCCUCUUCACCAUCGAGCCCCUAGGU